RNAcentral lists this ribosomal RNA (465 nucleotides) under uncultured bacterium. RNAcentral describes it as "partial 16S ribosomal RNA". It matches the Rfam family "Bacterial small subunit ribosomal RNA", at positions 28 to 507 of the family's 1533-position model. The record is from RNAcentral.
GAUGAACGCUGGCGGCAUGCUUAACACAUGCUAGUCGAACGGCAAGGCUCCUGCUUGCAGGGGUACUCGAAUGGCGAUCGGGUGAGUAACAGGUGGGUGAUCUGCCCUGCACUUCGGGAUAAGCCUGCGCAACUGGGUCUAAUACCGGAUAGGACCACCAUUUGGAUGGUGUGGUGGAAAGUUUCUCGGUGUGGGAUGAGCUCGCGGCCUAUCAGCUUGUUGGUGGGGUAAUGGCCUACCAAGGCGUCGACGGGUAGCCGGCCUGCGCGGGUGUACGGCCACAUUGGGACUGAGGUACGGCCCAGACUCCAACAGGAGCCAGCGGUGGGGAGGAGUGCACAAGGAGCGCAAGCCUGAUGCAGCGACGCGGCGUGGGGAAUGACGGCCUGCGGGUUGUAAACUCCUUACGCUAGGGACGAAGCGCAAGUGACGGUACCUAAAGAAGAAGCACCGGCUAGCUACGUG